This is a long non-coding RNA of Raphanus sativus (radish), 1631 nucleotides long. RefSeq lists it as uncharacterized. The record is from RefSeq and is a predicted model, not a curated record. NCBI's taxonomy places the organism in Eukaryota, Viridiplantae, Streptophyta, Magnoliopsida, Brassicales, Brassicaceae. The transcript is spliced from 4 exons.
UGCAGGCUUCACGUUGGGCUUCAACUCACGCUUCGUUUGCGGCCCACCUUCGUGUUCUCUGUUUCUCUUCGAUCGGCGGAGGGACGAUCCAGUCUCUUCCUUCUUCGUGCGACGGCGACUCGAUCGUUUGCGCUUCUUCACACCAUCCGAAACGGUCCGAUUAAUAGCUUUGUGAUUGAUCAGAUUGAUUGACUCCUCCCACGAUGUUGUCUUCAAUACUUUGUAUAAAUACGUGUUUAUUCCUCCGUUCUUAAGUCCGGCGAGGGCUCUUCCGUCGCCGAGGCUAGGCUUCUGCCGUUCUGUGAGGCGGUGGUGGUGAACUCAUGUGGAUCGACAUGUUAAUGGUGGACAUUAACGCAAGUUCAUUUUACUGAUUUUGAUGGUUUUAUAUUCAAAUGAUUACGGGGAACCUCCUACUGUUUGUUCAUCUAUAUUUAUAUUUUUUCUUGGAUCUUCUUCCUGUUUGUUAAUUAUGCGAUGUAUGAAAUUAUUUUUUAAGUGAUAAUCAAUGCAAGCCAUCCCGUGAAAUGCAUCAGUUCUGUCUUCUCCUUCUGGACGCAAAAGCUUGCAGGGAGAAGCAAGUUUUGAAGUUCCUUACUUUGUUUAUGGCUGUGGAGAUUCCACUUGCUAUCUUACGCCACAAGGACCGGCAUAUCUGAGCAAAAGUUUGAAAUAAAGAAGCAUUUGAACAGGCUAAACAAACCCGAUGUCAAGAGCAUUCAGUUUACUUGCAGUUCCUUUUUUAGAUGAACCACAAUUACCUUCCUUGGGGACUCUUUGAGGAGGACAAAAGAAGAUGAUAUCUUAAGAGAAAGUUCAUUCAAAAGAUAUGGCAAGACGAUUCGUCAAAAAAAAAAGAUAUGGCAAGACGAAGCAUAGAACUUUCCCGUUUCCUAAAUCUGAGGAACCUGGCCUCAUGAACCAAAGUAGUCAUCAGAUGAGUCAAAUUUUCUUUUUCUUUGUUGGUUUCUUGGAAGUCUUAUUUCUCUAAUCAAACACAAUUUAUUAUCAGAUACUGUUUGCUCUCCGUUUCUCACAGGUGCAACUACAAAGUGCUUCUUAACCUUCACAUUGAAGUGACUUUACAUGUUAUAAACGGGCUCAUUGAUCUCUUAUUAUUUUCUUGGAUCCUCACAAACAGAGGUCGAGUCUUUAUGUCUAUUCCUAGAAUUGUUAAGUCUCAACGGCAUUAUCAGCCGCGAGGGAAUGGCAAAACUGUCAAAUAACACUACCACAAAAAACAGAGGACUGUAUCUAUACCACCAGUAAGUUUAGAUAACGUUACCGUGAUGAGAUCUGGUGCCACUUGGAAGGAGAACCGUAAUAUUGCAGGUUUGGGAUGGGUCAUCUACGGAGAGGAUGGACCGAUGAAGUUCUCAGCAGUGUAAGAGCAUGUCUCCACGCCUUUGUUGGCAGAGAGUAUAGCAAUGAAAGAAUCACUCGCCAAAUGCAAGGAGUUCGCUGUGUCAGACGUGAAGCAGAUUCUAAACAGCUUAUUGCCUGCAUCAGGAAGGAAUUGUAUCGGAUAUUGUAGUUUUAGCUUCAGAUUUUGAGGCCAUCUCUUUUGGAUGGAUCUCCCGUAUGGAAAAUGUUGUUGCAUACAGUCUUGCAUAACUAAGCAUUGUAGUAAA